Molecule: unclassified non-coding RNA, 1034 nt
Filed under: Hevea brasiliensis (rubber tree)
Lineage: Eukaryota; Viridiplantae; Streptophyta; Magnoliopsida; Malpighiales; Euphorbiaceae
Source: RNAcentral
GUAGCUUCAGCAGCCCAAGCCACAUUCAUGAGUCAGUCACACUUAGUCCUCUGCCACAAGUGAAUGGUUUAGGUCGUUUUAAUGCAGAAACUUCGGUCACUGGCUUUGUUCCUGAUCAUCCUGUAACUGCUAAGGCAGUUUUUCCUUCUGGAAGCAAUCCUUUAUCAGGAAAUGAGGAAAAGAUUGUGCAGAAGGGAACUAGUACUGAACCAUUACUUUUUUCAGGACCAGCUACUUCUCUUCUUAGAGAUGUCAAAAGGACAUCUGUUGUUUGGGAUCAAGAUGCUGGCAGGUAUGUAUCAGUUCCUGUGUCAGCUUCUGAAGCUAGAAACAAAUCAACAAUACAAAUGGGAUUGCCAAAUUCUAGUGUAGAAAUGAGCAAUCAUGGCAAGAAGCCAAUAAUUCCAUCACAAGAGCCUUCAUCUUCAGCAACCAAGACUCCGGCUCAGCAAGCUGAGAAACUGAUGUACACAGGGGACUCCAUUUUCUUCGGUGGCCCACUUUUGAGUGCCCCAAUUAGGGAUGGUUUAGGAAAUGGAGGUUCAGGUUCAAGAGAGGGCCAACAGAGGUUAGCACUGAGCUUACCACGGGAGUCUAGAUUCAAAAGAGAUUCCACCUCAAACCAACUUCCUGUCUUUGUUCCUGGGGGUUUAGAGCAGAACCCUCCUCCUGGAUCUGGUUUAACGAAGAGUUAAAAAGAUUUGAACUUGGAAUUGGGAUUUGUGUACAAUUUUUGGUCCAAUUAUAGGGUGAGUUAAAAAGUGAUGGACUUGAAGAAGAAACCUCUUGUGGGAGCAUUUGAGCAGCCCCAGGAACCUUGCAAUUUUGAGCUAUUGUAAAUCUGUGUUGUGAGGUUCAAGCGGUUUCUUCUUUGAAGGGACACUUAAGGUAAAGAAGCACAUGCAAGGUAUCUCAACAUAGCUUGUCCCCUUAGAUUUCUUUCUAAUCCUGUACAAUUGGCAUUGUUGAUGGAUUGCAAAAGAUUAACUAUUCAUCUCUUUAAUGGUGUUGGGAAUGGAAAUAACAUAUCAAUU